RNAcentral lists this ribosomal RNA (253 nucleotides) under uncultured bacterium. Its description in RNAcentral is "partial 16S ribosomal RNA". It matches the Rfam family "Bacterial small subunit ribosomal RNA", at positions 524 to 776 of the family's 1533-position model. The record is from RNAcentral.
UACGGAGGGUGCAAGCGUUGUUCGGAUUUAUUGGGCGUAAAGCGCGUGUAGGCGGUUUCUUAAGCCUGAUGUGAAAGCCCCGGGCUCAACCCGGGAAGUGCAUUGGAUACUGGGAGACUUGAAUACGGGAGAGGGUAGUGGAAUUCCUAGUGUAGGAGUGAAAUCCGUAGAUAUUAGGAGGAACACCGGUGGCGAAGGCGGCUACCUGGACCGAUAUUGACGCUGAGGCACGAAAGCGUGGGGAGCAAACAGG